GGAAGGAUCAUUAACACGUAUCCAACGUUAAAUCCCCCGUGCACGUUGACGUUUACAGCCGCUGGGUUCACGCAAGACGCAUCCGCAUGGUUUACGCACGCCUGCUGUGGAGCUCGACUUCGGUCGGCUUUGGCCUGGAGCGUGUACGCCGAUUAUCGCGGGAUAUGCUUGUAGGGCCGCAGUUCGUUUCUGUGUGGAGCAAUCCAUUCCGAGAAACUUGAAGGGUACACAGUUCUCAUGUACCUGUUUUUGAGACCUCCGAAGGUUGUUGGUCGCUAUUGUCGGGUUGUGUUCAGGAGGAAGAGCCGGAAGACCGUCCGGUGACCUUGGACUGGAGUUGAGGUGAAAUGGACUCACUUGGGGGAAGAGCCGGCGACUAUCCGGUGACCUGGACCAGCACAAUCUGCUGUAGUGAUUGGCAGCCGUACAGGGGUUGAGACAGGGUGGGUUCUAAUCCAAUCGCUAUUAAUUGAAUACUCCCUAGCGACCCAAAAACAUAUGACAUUAACAUGGUUAGACUGGGGAAACCUGGGCCAUGAAAAACGAAACCCGAACAACUGUUAACAAUGGAUAUCUUGGUUCUCGCAACGAUGAAGAACGCAGCGAAAUGCGAUACGUAAUGCGAAUUGCAGAAUUCAGUGAAUCAUCGAAUCUUUGAACGCAAAUUGCGCUCUCGGGUUACCCCUGAGAGCACACCUCGCUGACUAUCGGUUUAAAACACAUAUCCCACCUUUUGGUGGUGAUAAUCGUUGAGCGUUAGGCAUGUCUCUUUCGGGAGUUGUGUCUAUCGCUUUAAAAUCAGUCAUUCUACUCAUUGAAUGGCUUUUGCAAGUUGGCUUCACUUCGGUGAAUCAGAUUUACAAGAGUCAUCCGACGGUUUUUUGUAGUGAUGGCGAACUUAGAAAAUGGUCGUAAGUAAAGACACGGAGCAUAUGCGGGCUUUGACGACUGACUUUGCGCGUCUUCGGACUAUGCAUCGUUUUGGAUGGAGAAGCAAUGCAAGCUUGGGGUCCUAGCUUACAGAAUCGAUUUCCGAGUUCUCUGGAUCGACAAACUCAGUUGGCCUUGAGGUAUAAGUUUGCUGGACGGAAAGAAAGUCGCUGAAGAACGAACGUCAAGAAAGUUGCAAUCUCACGCGAACAACUUUAGUGUUGAGAUAGGGACAUCGUGGCCGGAGUUUAUCAGCAAACCUUUGAAUUAGAUGUCAGCUGAAGUGAGGAGACCCCCUGAAUUUAAGCAUAUUAUUAAGGGGAGGAAAAGAAACUAACAAGGAUUCCCCUAGUAACGGCGAGUGAAGCGGGAAGAGCUCAAACUUGAAAUCCGCGGGUGUAACAACCUGUGGACUUGUAGCCUAGAGACGCUCUCUCAGUGCUAGACCGGUUAUAAAUCCCUUGAAACGGGGUAUCAUAGAGGGUGAGAAUCCCGUCUUUGAGCUGGAUCUGAGUGCGUACGAGGAGUGUUCCAAGAGUCGUGUUGCUUGGGAGUGCAGCACUAAAUGGGUGGUAAAGUUCAUCUAAAGCUAAAUACUGGCGAGAAACCGAUAGCGAACAAGUACCGUGAGGGAAAGAUGAAAAGAACUUUGAAAAGAGAGUUAAAAAGUACUUGAAAUUGUUAACAGGGAAGGGCAGGAAACCAGUAAUUCUUGGGUCCACUUGGAGUCGCCUAACGGUGGCUUUUACUUGGGCUUGGGACAGUCAUCAUCACUUAGAGUCGUUGGAGAAAGCGUAGAGGCACGGCGCCUUGCUCCGGCAAGGUUGCACCUUUACGUCCUACAUUGGCUCUGAGUGAGGAAGAGAACCCGCGCUCGAAAGGGCACGGCGCCUUGUCUCCUGUUUGCCCUAGCGCUUGAGAGAACAAAGUUCUGUCGGUGCGAAAGGUAGACAAUGAGGUAGGUGCGUCAGUUGCUGGGUUCGCGAUGAUGACGAAAUGGUUUUCUUCCACCCGUCUUGAAACACGGACCAAGGAGUCUAACAUAUAUGCGAGUAUUUGGGUGACAAACCCUGAUGCGCAAUGAAAGUAAAGUGGGGCAACCCAUGAGGUGGGAAUCUUACCUUCGGGUGGGAGGCACCAUCGACCGAUCGAUCGCUUGCGAAAGAUUUGAGUAAUAGCAUGUAUGUUGGGACCCGAAAGAUGGUGAUCUAUGCCUGAACAGGGUGAAGCCAGGGGAAACUCUGGUGGAAGCUCGUAGCGAUACUGACGUGCAAAUCGUUCGUCUGAUUUGGGUAUAGGGGCGAAAGACUAAUCGAACCAUCUAGUAGCUGGUUCCCUC
Molecule: unclassified non-coding RNA, 2269 nt
Filed under: uncultured fungus
Lineage: Eukaryota; Fungi
Description: sequence contains 18S rRNA gene, ITS1, 5.8S rRNA gene, ITS2, 28S rRNA gene
Rfam family: Eukaryotic large subunit ribosomal RNA (bases 1200-2269)
Source: RNAcentral